RNAcentral lists this ribosomal RNA (467 nucleotides) under uncultured bacterium. Its description in RNAcentral is "partial 16S ribosomal RNA". It matches the Rfam family "Bacterial small subunit ribosomal RNA", at positions 28 to 507 of the family's 1533-position model. The record is from RNAcentral.
GACGAACGCUGGCGGCGUGCUUAACACAUGCAAGUCGAACGGAAAGGCCCUGCUUUUGUGGGGUGCUCGAGUGGCGAACGGGUGAGUAACACGUGAGUAACCUGCCCUUGACUUUGGGAUAACUUCAGGAAACUGGGGCUAAUACCGGAUAGGAGCUCCUGCUGCAUGGUGGGGGUUGGAAAGUUUCGGCGGUUGGGGAUGGACUCGCGGCUUAUCAGCUUGUUGGUGGGGUAGUGGCUUACCAAGGCUUUGACGGGUAGCCGGCCUGAGAGGGUGACCGGCCCCAUGGGGCCGGAGAUCCGCCCAGACUCCUACGGGAGGCAGCAGUGGGGAAUAUUGCACAAUGGGCGGAAGCCUGAUGCAGCAACGCCGCGUGCGGGAUGACGGCCUUCGGGUUGUAAACCGCUUUCGCCUGUGACGAAGCGUGAGUGACGGUAAUGGGUAAAGAAGCACCGGCUAACUACGUG